UACGUAGGUGGCGAGCGUUGUUCGGAAUCACUGGGCAUAAAGCGCGCGUAGGCGGUUUGUCGCGUCGAAUGUGAAAACCCGGGGCUCAACCCCGGGCCUGCAUUCGAUACGGGCAGACUAGAGUUCGGUAGGGGAGUCUGGAAUUCCUGGUGUAGCGGUGAAAUGCGCAGAUAUCAGGAGGAACACCGGUGGCGAAGGCGGGACUCUGGGCCGAUACUGACGCUGAGGAGCGAAAGCGUGGGGAGCAAACAGG
RNAcentral lists this ribosomal RNA (253 nucleotides) under uncultured bacterium. Its description in RNAcentral is "partial 16S ribosomal RNA". It matches the Rfam family "Bacterial small subunit ribosomal RNA", at positions 524 to 776 of the family's 1533-position model. The record is from RNAcentral.